AAUUCUUAGCAUGCACGGGAUAAACCACGAAACCACGGAGCCCAUGUAUACAGUGGCUUUACUGAUGGCUUCAUGCCGCUUUUCGCUUUUGUAGUACUUCUUCACUGGAUGCUAAGUUCUCUGUUCAACAAGGAUGCUGUAGUGCAGAAACUUCCUGAUAGGUUUGUUCAGCUCCCAGUCUCAGAGACUGAUGGUCUUUCCCUAUACUGCUGUAGAAAGUGUCUAGGGACACUGCAUAGGGUUGAAAAGAUGACUGAGGAGAUGAGGUCUCUAGCUAUAUCCAGCUAUGGCAUUGCAACUAGAUCUAGUUCUCUCACCGGUAGCCCAACAGCAAGAGAAAACUCAAGAAAGAGCCAUGGAGAAGCUCGUCCAGUAGCUAAGCGUGCCUUAGGUAUCCUCGACGCUAGGUAAACAUUCAAUGCAUACACCGUGUUCUGGUUCAGCUCAUUUGACAAUUUUCAAUGUUAAGUGCAAAUAGAUGAAAGUUUACACACAUGGACUGAACAUAAAUUGUAUCACAGAGGUAGAGCUAGAGAAGGCGUCCAAGUGAUGGUAAUUAACCCUUUAACCGCCACGGGCCACGAUCGUGGCCCGCAAUAGUGACUUUUUUGUGAAAUUCUAAUUCCGCGAUACUUAUAGGAAGUAGCUUGAACUACGCAUCUCCCUGUAUUGAGGAAGAGCUGUAGAAUCACGUGCAAUUUAGUCUAGAAUUAGAAUUUUCCAAGCCACGUUACUAUGUUAUUCAUUAGCCGCACGAAGUUUAUAGCUAUGGCUAGGUUGUUUACUUGUGCCGAUGUGCUUGAACAGCAAUGUCUCCUCUGGUGCCUAUGAAGGAGAGGGGAUAAGAGUAGGAUACCUCCCAAAGGCUACCAGCUUUAUGCCAGACGCUGAUGAACUGUCUGGGACUGAGGACAUGCAUGACAUGGACCUAGACGCUAGCACUAUGGACCAGGACGGUGAAAGACCAGGAGAGGGCUCAUGAUCGUUCACUGAGCUCUCUGAUGUCAACAGUUACAGGGGGUGGACCGUCUGAUGGAAGUGGGUCACUGUCCAACGAUGACGGAGAUGAACUUCCUGAUGACAAAAGUGUGUCAUCCGGGUGAUGGACUGUCCGGCGACGAUGAAAGUUUGUUGAUGUCUGACAGUGAAGGUAUAUCACACUCACACUAGCUGUGCAGUUCUGGUGACUGAUGGUUAUACAUGGUACACCUCACCGUUAUAAUAAUAUAGUAAUACAUGUACGUAUUGUACUCAAAAAUCAAGCUUAGUCAACCAUAUGAUAGGCUGAUCAAUUUUAUCUCACCGCUGGCCGGGCAUUUAAAAUGAUAAAAACGGGUGGGCGUAAUAACCAUGGGGUAUGGGCAUUCUAUUGGUAUAUGGUUGCUAGGCAUUUUAUUGCCCGAUAGAGAAUUAACAGACAUUUCACUUCACUGUUAAUUAAGAAUCCGAAUUAACAAUCCGACGGUUAAAGGGGUAAUUAAAUUUAAUUAAAUACCAUAAUAAACAAUGCAGAUGACAGUAAACUCACCAGUUCGUCCCUGUCCUUCACUAGUCAUCUGGAUAGGAAAAUUGGUUGUGCACUUGUUGGAGGUGAUCCUCGGAUGUCCGAGGCAACUACGAGACAGCAUGUGGGUUUUCCAGAAAAUAGGCGGGAAAGUCUGUCGACGGCAACCAGUCUCCGUUUUUCGAAAGGUCCGGCUGGAGACAUUUUCUUGGGAUUGGUUUAUUGAAGACAGUUUGUCCAAUUCUUUUUCAGAUAUUGGAGACAGAUAUUGGAGACAGUUGUGACGUAUUCAGACCACCGUAACUCUCGGAGAGUUACAGUGAAGGGAGCGGCACAUCAUCCAGGCAUGUGUUUGGCAGCAGCAAUUCUAUUCAAGGAAGAAAUGGUCGGUGUUCAGUCACUCCUUUCGCUAGUUCUUUUUAACGCCAAGAAUGUGUACCUGAGUUUGCAUCAGCAACGUUUAGCUUGGUGGCCGAGAUCAGCAAACGUCACAGGGAGCCCUUAGAGCGCUGGAUCGAGGACUUCAAGUUCGUUGGUGACAACGUAGCAAAGAGGUUACAUCUGUGAGCACUGACCAGUGUCUACCUACAGAGUACAAAGCAUCAAACAAAAUUUAAUAGUUCUUGUAAGCAGAACAGUUUGCAAGUACAUCAAGUGUCUGCAGAAGUACGCCAUAUAGCACACGCACACAGCAGUCUGAAGCGAUCGUACUUCACAAGAACGAGACGAAGGGGGCUGAUAUGAUCGAUAUUAUGAGGGAAAUGCACGAUUACCUUGGUGACAGCUCCAAGAUAAGACCAUCUGGUGGAGACUGUUGAAAGAAGCCAGCAACAUUUGAUGGACUCCGACACACAGAGAGGCAGGCUGGAGCCGUGUGCAGUAGACUGGCAUUGUUUGAUGAAUAUCCUAAUGGCUACAAAAAAGCAUGUAAUUAACUGGCUCACAGACAUGUCACACGUACACUAUUUUUUAAUCUACCAGUA
Halichondria panicea is the source of this 2487-nucleotide long non-coding RNA. RefSeq lists it as uncharacterized. The record is from RefSeq and is a predicted model, not a curated record. NCBI's taxonomy places the organism in Eukaryota, Metazoa, Porifera, Demospongiae, Suberitida, Halichondriidae. The transcript is spliced from 4 exons.